UGGAAGUAAAAAUCGUAACAAGGUCUCCGUUGGUGAACCAGCGGAGGGAUCAUUACCGAGUUUACAACUCCCAAACCCAAUGUGAACGUUACCAAACUGUUGCCUCGGCGGGGUCACGCCCCGGGUGCGUCGCAGCCCCGGAACCAGGCGCCCGCCGGAGGAACCAACCAAACUCUUUCUGUAGUCCCCUCGCGGACGUAUUUCUUACAGCUCUGAGCAAAAAUUCAAAAUGAAUCAAAACUUUCAACAACGGAUCUCUUGGUUCUGGCAUCGAUGAAGAACGCAGCGAAAUGCGAUAAGUAAUGUGAAUUGCAGAAUUCAGUGAAUCAUCGAAUCUUUGAACGCACAUUGCGCCCGCCAGUAUUCUGGCGGGCAUGCCUGUCCGAGCGUCAUUUCAACCCUCGAACCCCUCCGGGGGAUCGGCGUUGGGGAUCGGGACCCCUCACACGGGUGCCGGCCCCUAAAUACAGUGGCGGUCUCGCCGCAGCCUCUCCUGCGCAGUAGUUUGCACAACUCGCACCGGGAGCGCGGCGCGUCCACGUCCGUAAAACACCCAACUUUCUGAAAUGUUGACCUCGGAUCAGGUAGGAAUACCCGCUGAACUUAAGCAUAUCAAUAGGGCGGAGGAA
This 629-nucleotide ribosomal RNA is filed under the name Trichoderma asperellum. RNAcentral describes it as "eukaryotic LSU rRNA". The stretch from base 239 to 392 matches the Rfam family "5.8S ribosomal RNA". Lineage: Eukaryota; Fungi; Ascomycota; Sordariomycetes; Hypocreales; Hypocreaceae. The record is from RNAcentral.